CCUUCCUCUUUUUCUUUCAGCCUCUUCCAUCUCAGUCUCUGGCCUUGGAACAGACACCUGCUUUCCUCCAGUGCCAACUUCAAAUACUGAGGUGGCAGCGGCAGAGCUGGGCCUCUCACUGAUGAUGCCCAACAAGAUCCAGAAGAAAAAAGACAAUCUUUUCCUGUACUUUCUUCCGAGAGAAGGAAACAUCUUCCAAAAGCUCCUGGCAAAUUUAUCUUUGUAUCUCAUCAGCCCAAUGGAAGCCACGUGCUUUUUCCAGAACCAUCACCAGGAGAAUAUGUUUGACUUAGACUAAUCAGGGCUCAUCCUCGACUGAGGUCACUUCUCUCAAUUGCAUAGCUACUAUAAAAUUAGGAGGAACAGAGUGGAUAUUACAGAACUACCACAACUGUAGUCCUCCCCUUUAGUUGUCCAAUAUUCAUACAUAACCUCCAUGCUGUGUCACACACAACUUCAGAAAUGUCCAUGCCUAAUAAAAUGCACUCAAGCCCUUC
Hipposideros armiger (great roundleaf bat) is the source of this 497-nucleotide long non-coding RNA. RefSeq lists it as uncharacterized. Lineage: Eukaryota; Metazoa; Chordata; Mammalia; Chiroptera; Hipposideridae. The record is from RefSeq and is a predicted model, not a curated record. The transcript is spliced from 2 exons.